GUGGGUAUAGCUUAGUGGUAGAGCAUGUGCUUAGUUUGCAUGAGGUCCUGGGUUCAAUCCCCAGUAACUCUG
This 72-nucleotide transfer RNA is filed under the name Camelus ferus (Wild Bactrian camel). It matches the Rfam family "tRNA". Rfam says of the family: Transfer RNA (tRNA) molecules are approximately 80 nucleotides in length. Their secondary structure includes four short double-helical elements and three loops (D, anti-codon, and T loops). The record is from Rfam by way of RNAcentral. Lineage: Eukaryota; Metazoa; Chordata; Mammalia; Artiodactyla; Camelidae.